Molecule: ribosomal RNA, 253 nt
Filed under: uncultured bacterium
Lineage: Bacteria
Description: partial 16S ribosomal RNA
Rfam family: Archaeal small subunit ribosomal RNA
Source: RNAcentral
UACCAGCACCCCGAGUGGUCGGGACGUUUAUUGGGCCUAAAGCAUCCGUAGCCGGUUCUACAGGUCUUCCGUUAAAUCCACCUGCUCAACAGAUGGGCUGCGGAAGAUACUAUGGAGCUAGGAGGCGGGAGAGGCAAGCGGUACUCGAUGGGUAGGGGUAAAAUCCGUUGAUCCAUUGAAGACCACCAGUGGCGAAGGCGGCUUGCCAGAACGCGCUCGACGGUGAGGGAUGAAAGCUGGGGGAGCAAACCGG